AGCUUGCUGGUUAUGAAAGUGGCGCACGGGUGCGUAACGCGUAUGCAACCUACCUUAAUCAGGGGGAUAGCCCGAAGAAAUUCGGAUUAAGACCGCAUAAAAACACAGGAUAGCAUUAUCCAAUGUUCAAAUAUUUAUAGGAUUAAGAUGGGCAUGCGUGUCAUUAGCUAGUUGGCGGGGUAACGGCCCACCAAGGCGACGAUGACUAGGGGAUCUGAGAGGAUGACCCCCCACACUGGUACUGAGACACGGACCAGACUCCUACGGGAGGCAGCAGUAAGGAAUAUUGGUCAAUGGAGGGAACUCUGAACCAGCCAUGCCGCGUGCAGGAAGACAGCCCUCUGGGUCGUAAACUGCUUUUAUUCGGGAAUAAACCUAUCUACGUGUAGAUAGCUGAAUGUACCGAAGGAAUAAGGAUCGGCUAACUCCGUGCCAGCAGCCGCGGUAAUACGGAGGAUCCAAGCGUUAUCCGGAUUUAUUGGGUUUAAAGGGUGCGUAGGCGGCCAAUUAAGUCAGGGGUGAAAGACGGUAGCUCAACUAUCGCAGUGCCCUUGAUACUGAUUGGCUUGAAUGGACUAGAGGUAGGCGGAAUGUGACAAGUAGCGGUGAAAUGCAUAGAUAUGUCACAGAACACCGAUUGCGAAGGCAGCUUACUAUGGUCAUAUUGACGCUGAGGCACGAAAGCGUGGGGAUCAAACAGGAUUAGAUACCCUGGUAGUCCACGCCCUAAACGAUGAAUACUCGCUGUUAGCGAUAUACAGUUAGCGGCUAAGCGAAAGCGUUAAGUAUUCCACCUGGGGAGUACGGUC
RNAcentral lists this ribosomal RNA (809 nucleotides) under Pedobacter heparinus. RNAcentral's name for it is "bacterial SSU rRNA". It matches the Rfam family "Bacterial small subunit ribosomal RNA", at positions 77 to 887 of the family's 1533-position model. The record is from RNAcentral. Lineage: Bacteria; Pseudomonadati; Bacteroidota; Sphingobacteriia; Sphingobacteriales; Sphingobacteriaceae.